Molecule: long non-coding RNA, 304 nt
Organism: Bombina bombina (fire-bellied toad)
Lineage: Eukaryota; Metazoa; Chordata; Amphibia; Anura; Bombinatoridae
Exons: 4
Source: RefSeq, a predicted model, not a curated record
UGAAAAUCUAGACACAGGAUCACAUGAAGACCUUGUACAGAAUAUUCAGCCAUCAGAUAUCUCUGCAGCUGUUAAAACAGAAGAUCUGAGUGUAACGUGUCAUCUAGAAGCUCCAAAGCAGGAAAUGUGUGACAGUGACAAUGAAGUUGAAAAUGAUGCUAAGAUUUCAUGUAACAUGGAACAAACAGAAGAUCUGUGGCUAAGAAAUAUAACAGAAGCUACAGAGCAGGAAAUAUGUGACAAAAUAAGUACAGGUGAAAAUGAUGCUAAGAUUUCAUGUAACACGGAACAAACAGAAGAUCAG